RNAcentral lists this transfer RNA (58 nucleotides) under Baikalogammarus pullus. RNAcentral's name for it is "tRNA-Ile". The record is from RNAcentral. Lineage: Eukaryota; Metazoa; Arthropoda; Malacostraca; Amphipoda; Baikalogammaridae.
AGUAAAGUACCUAUUUAGGGUUACCUUGAUACGGUAAACAUGUUUAUAACCUUUAUUA